UGGGGAAUCUUGCACAAUGGGCGAAAGCCUGAUGCAGCCAUGCCGCGUGAGUGAAGAAGGCCCUAGGGUUGUAAAGCUCUUUCAGUGGUGAAGAUAAUGACGGUAACCACAGAAGAAGCCCCGGCUAACUUCGUGCCAGCAGCCGCGGUAAUACGAAGGGGGCUAGCGUUGUCCGGAAUUACUGGGCGUAAAGAGCACGUAGGCGGAUUGAUCAGUUGAGGGUGAAAGCCCAGGGCUCAACCCUGGAACUGCCUUCAAAACUGUCAGUCUAGAGAUCGGAAGAGGUGAGCGGAAUUCCUAGUGUAGAGGUGAAAUUCGUAGAUAUUAGGAAGAACACCGGUGGCGAAGGCGGCUCACUGGUCCGAUACUGACGCUAAGGUGCGAAAGCGUGGGGAGCAAACAGGAUUAGAUACCCCCGUAGUCC
RNAcentral lists this ribosomal RNA (424 nucleotides) under uncultured prokaryote. RNAcentral describes it as "partial 16S ribosomal RNA". It matches the Rfam family "Bacterial small subunit ribosomal RNA", at positions 355 to 796 of the family's 1533-position model. The record is from RNAcentral.